AAUCCCUGUGUGAGAAAUUAGAAUUAUUUUUGCUAAUGUUCUUGUGUGUCUCACAGCUAGAGGAAUUUGGUUUCAAAUUGAAGUCUAGGAAAUCUGUUGGAUAUGAAUUGCGUUAGUUGGGAUUACGGGCAUAUCUUCUUUAUUUUAUUUUAUUUUUAUCCUAUUUCUUUUUGUUUUGAAAAUUUUAAAAAUUGAAUAGUAUUCCUAAAAAUCUGCUUCACUAGUCACAUUUCCCAUUCUUUCUCCCCAAUUUCCCCAUUCGUGUGUUUCAAUUUGUUCUCCAGUAAAGAAAUUCUAAAUUUUCUUCUUUCUUUCUUACUCUUUCUUUCAUACUUUAUUGUUUUCUUUGGAUAUCUCUCUUGCUUUUCCCAAGCAAAGGUUGUUUUCAAUUUUGUUCUUAUUUAUCCUAUUUACUGAAACGAUGUUGCUCGUAACUUCUGUUAUUUGCAGUUCCUUUCUAGUUGUUUCGACCCUAUGCGUAUUCAUGUUUGGGCAAGGUUAUAAGUUCUGUUGGUUGUUAUGCUAUUUAAGGGUGUUUAAUUAUUUUAUUUGCUAAUGAAGUGUUUUUGGAAAUUAUUUGUGUGUUGUGAUGUGUUAGGAGAAGAUCGUGUGGCGAUUGGUUCUCCGACAAACUGAGUUCGUUUUAAGCUAUGGAUUUGUUAAGGGGUACUGGAAUACGUGAUUUUUGGGCCUACAACAGAAUUUGACCAGGGAUGGUCGGAGAUGAUGUGUACCAGAUGGAGUUAGGAUCUGAAUCUGUAUCUGUAUCUGUAUCUGUUUUGCAUUUGAAUCUGUAACUGAUAUACAUAUAAAUGUGUAUCUGUUAUGCAACAAUGUCUAUAUCAGUUCUGUAAUAUGUUAAAACAUGUGUAUCUGAUUUACUGUAUGCAAUGAGUUACACACUAAGCUUGUAAGCUCA
Molecule: long non-coding RNA, 919 nt
Organism: Gossypium raimondii (Peruvian cotton)
Lineage: Eukaryota; Viridiplantae; Streptophyta; Magnoliopsida; Malvales; Malvaceae
Exons: 3
Source: RefSeq, a predicted model, not a curated record